Molecule: long non-coding RNA, 775 nt
Organism: Daucus carota subsp. sativus
Lineage: Eukaryota; Viridiplantae; Streptophyta; Magnoliopsida; Apiales; Apiaceae
Exons: 3
Source: RefSeq, a predicted model, not a curated record
AAAUAAUAUUAAAACAAUCUUUGGUUUAUAUUCUAAAUAUUAUUGUGGAUAUGCAUAAUCGACUAAUUAGUUGGUUAAGGAUUAGGAUGAAACUGUAACUAAACUUUAGAUGAGGCAUAAUAUUUUGAAUAUUUUGAUGCUAAUCUUUAAAGCAUACUUAUCUUUAUUUACUAUAAAUUUCGAGAACACAUCUAAGUCAUCCACAACAGAGUUAAAUAUAAUUAUUCUACUGGUGGCAAGCGUGAGAGAGUAUGCAUGCGGUAGUAAAACACAGUACAUGAUUGGAUAGAUUUUGGUGCAAUAUACAAGGUGUAGCAUAUUAUUAAGGAAGGUGCGACGAGAAAGUUACAUACUGGUAAUUCUUGGUAAAUGGUGGAGGUUUGAUUCAAAUCUUCAUACCCAAAUAUAUUUGUUACACUUAUAAAAUUAUAUUAAUUGUGUUGAAUUUAUUUCAGGUUCAUAAUUAGUAUACUAAUUAUACGCUGUGCUGCAUUCAUCAUUUUGAGAGCAUUCUAUUUCGAUUCAUAAGGAGGAGUAGCUUCAGUUUUGAUCACAACUAAAUUAGUGUUGUUAUAUCAGGUAAUCAGGGGUAGCGGGGAUCGUGAUGAGUGACACCCACCUUUAGUUGCUUUCGUUGUUAGGGGCUAUAAUAAGACUUUAGAGCUUAUAUUUCUAUUGAUUUCAGACUUUGUUGGAUUUAUUAUCAUGGAGUUUCAGACUUUAUUAUCCAUAUUGACAUUUUGGUUGUUAAAUUAUUAUAUUAUUUCUGAAUGAA